RNAcentral lists this small RNA (124 nucleotides) under Marmota monax (woodchuck). The record is from RNAcentral. Lineage: Eukaryota; Metazoa; Chordata; Mammalia; Rodentia; Sciuridae.
GCCAGGUGUGGUGGCUCACGCCUGUAAUCCCAGCAUCCUGGGAGGCUGAGGCAGGAGGAUCGCGAGUUCAAAGCCACCCUCAGCAACAGUGAGGCACGAAGCACUCAGUGAGACCCUGUCUCUA